This 50-nucleotide non-coding RNA is filed under the name Trichobilharzia regenti. Lineage: Eukaryota; Metazoa; Platyhelminthes; Trematoda; Strigeidida; Schistosomatidae. The record is from RNAcentral.
GUACUACUGAAGAGUCCCAAACUAGGAUGGAGGAAACAGCCGUUUAGUAC